Molecule: ribosomal RNA, 497 nt
Filed under: uncultured bacterium
Lineage: Bacteria
Description: partial 16S ribosomal RNA
Rfam family: Bacterial small subunit ribosomal RNA
Source: RNAcentral
GACGAACGCUGGCGGCGUGCCUAAUACAUGCAAGUAGAACGCUGAAGCGAGGAGCUUACUCUUCUUGGAUGAGUUGCGAACGGGUGAGUAACGCGUAGGUAACCUGCCUUGUAGCGGGGGAUAACUAUUGGAAACGAUAGCUAAUACCGCAUAACAAUGGAUGACACAUGUCAUUUAUUUGAAAGGGGCAAUUGCUCCACUACAAGAUGGACCUGCGUUGUAUUAGCUAGUAGGUGAGGUAAUGGCUCACCUAGGCGACGGUACAUAGCCGACCUGAGAGGGUGGACGGCCCCACUGGGAAUGGGACACGGCCCAGACUUCUAAGGGAGGCAGCAGGAGGGGAUCUUCGGCAAUGGGGGCAACCCUGACCGAGGAACGCCGCGUGAGUGAAGGAAGUUCUCGGAUCGUAAAGCUCUGUUGGAAGUCAAGAAAGGGUGUGAGAGUGGAAAGUUCACACUGUGACGGUAGCUUACCAGAAAGGGACGGCUAACUACGUG